GAUGAACGCUGGCGGCGUGCCUAAUACAUGCAAGUCGAGCGAACAGACGAGGAGCUUGCUCCUCUGACGUUAGCGGCGGACGGGUGAGUAACACGUGGACAACCUACCUAUAAGACUGGGAUAACUUCGGGAAACCGGAGCUAAUACCGGAUAAUAUAUUGAACCGCAUGGUUCAAUAGUGAAAGACGGUUUUGCUGUCACUUAUAGAUGGAUCCGCGCCGCAUUAGCUAGUUGGUAAGGUAACGGCUUACCAAGGCAACGAUGCGUAGCCGACCUGAGGGGGUGAUCGGCCACACUGGAACUGAGACACGGUCCAGACUCCGACGGGAGGCAGCAGUAGGGAAUCUUACGCAAUGGGCGAAAGCCUGACGGAGCAACGCCGCGUGAGUGAUGAAGGUCUUCGGAUCGUAAAACUCUGUUAUUAGGGAAGAACAAAUGUGUAAGUAACUAUGCACGUCUUGACGGUACCUAAUCAGAAAGCCACGGCUAACUACGUG
RNAcentral lists this ribosomal RNA (497 nucleotides) under uncultured bacterium. Its description in RNAcentral is "partial 16S ribosomal RNA". It matches the Rfam family "Bacterial small subunit ribosomal RNA", at positions 28 to 507 of the family's 1533-position model. The record is from RNAcentral.